Molecule: ribosomal RNA, 722 nt
Filed under: Klebsiella pneumoniae
Lineage: Bacteria; Pseudomonadati; Pseudomonadota; Gammaproteobacteria; Enterobacterales; Enterobacteriaceae
Description: partial 23S ribosomal RNA
Rfam family: Bacterial large subunit ribosomal RNA
Source: RNAcentral
CCGGCGAUGUCCGAAUGGGGAAACCCAGUGCAAUUCGUUGCACUAUCGUUAACUGAAUACAUAGGUUAACGAGGCGAACCGGGGGAACUGAAACAUCUAAGUACCCCGAGGAAAAGAAAUCAACCGAGAUUCCCCCAGUAGCGGCGAGCGAACGGGGAGCAGCCCAGAGUCUGAAUCAGCUUGUGUGUUAGUGGAACGGUCUGGAAAGUCCGACGGUACAGGGUGAUAGUCCCGUACACCAAAAUGCACAGGCUGUGAACUCGAAGAGUAGGGCGGGACACGUGGUAUCCUGUCUGAAUAUGGGGGGACCAUCCUCCAAGGCUAAAUACUCCUGACUGACCGAUAGUGAACCAGUACCGUGAGGGAAAGGCGAAAAGAACCCCGGCGAGGGGAGUGAAAAAGAACCUGAAACCGUGUACGUACAAGCAGUGGGAGCACCUUCGGGUGUGACUGCGUACCUUUUGUAUAAUGGGUCAGCGACUUAUAUUCUGUAGCAAGGUUAACCGUAUAGGGGAGCCGCAGGGAAACCGAGUCUUAACUGGGCGUUAAGUUGCAGGGUAUAGACCCGAAACCCGGUGAUCUAGCCAUGGGCAGGUUGAAGGUUGGGUAACACUAACUGGAGGACCGAACCGACUAAUGUUGAAAAAUUAGCGGAUGACUUGUGGCUGGGGGUGAAAGGCCAAUCAAACCGGGAGAUAGCUGGUUCUCCCCGAAAGCUAUUU